RNAcentral lists this ribosomal RNA (403 nucleotides) under uncultured bacterium. Its description in RNAcentral is "bacterial SSU rRNA". It matches the Rfam family "Bacterial small subunit ribosomal RNA", at positions 28 to 425 of the family's 1533-position model. The record is from RNAcentral.
GAUGAACGCUAGCUACAGGCUUAACACAUGCAAGUCGAGGGGCAGCACUAGGUAGCAAUACUGAGGUGGCGACCGGCGCACGGGUGCGUAACGCGUAUCCAACCUUCCCGAUACUCUUGGAUAGCCUUCCGAAAGGGGAGAUUAAUACAAGAUGGUGUUUGAAUUCCGCAUGUUAUUCAAACUAAAGAUUUAUCGGUAACGGAUGGGGAUGCGUGACAUUAGGUAGAUGGCGGGGUAACGGCCACCAUGCCUACGAUGUCUAGGGGUUCUGAGAGGAAGGUCCCCCACACUGGAACUGAGACACGGUCCAGACUCCUACGGGAGGCAGCAGUGAGGAAUAUUGGUCAAUGGUCGGAAGACUGAACCAGCCAAGUAGCGUGAAGGAUGAAGGUUCUAUGGAUUG